This 303-nucleotide ribosomal RNA is filed under the name Triticum aestivum (bread wheat). RNAcentral describes it as "partial small subunit ribosomal RNA". Lineage: Eukaryota; Viridiplantae; Streptophyta; Magnoliopsida; Poales; Poaceae. The record is from RNAcentral.
CUGGAGUUCUACGGUCUCCAAUUACACAAUCUCACCCCUGCCUCCAUUCUACAUAUCGCCGGCUAUGUUGCUCUCUGCGAGUUGUUCCUGGGCUGCGAGGCUCACUUCGAGCUGUGGAAAAGGCUAUUCUGCCUUGUCCCUCGCACAGAGAGGGAAUCACUUUAUCAAGUGGGCGGAGCCAAAAUAUGGCGCAUCACCGAUACCGGAUACCUGUCCGGUACCCCGAAGAAGCCGUCCGAAGACUGGCCUUCAGAAUGGUUUUAUAUGGAGGACGUCCCCCUUCCGGACCCUGUUCGGCGGGGU